CCUAACUUCUCUGAUUCUAAAUUCCAUGGUAAUUUUUACUAAGCCACGGGGCCUGUUAUAAACAAAUGGCCCAACUUUUUCUUUCACCCAGGUGGACUCAGACAGGGCAAAACUGGUUCUGAUGCACCAGUCUCAAGCUCUAUUCCCUUCUGCCCCACCUCCCCUUCUUCCAAUGUCCUUCCCCUUACAGAAACCUGCUCUUCAGAAGGACUCUGACUUUGGCAUUUACUUACUAAAGGGGAUCUGUACGCAUCUAGGCAAUAACACGCACCAUCAAUGGGAAAGAGUGCUCAAGGAACUUCAUUGUCCACCUGUAUUAGUGUUAAAGAGCAGUGACACAAGAAAGUGAUCAAAGAUGGAGUCAUUCCUUAGGAGAAGUUCAGCAGCAAUCCCUGCAAGGAAAAGGUGCUUGUGACUCACAUGGAUGGAAAAACCAAACUUGUCAUUUGGGAAAGGAACUCGAUUAUGCCCAGUGGAAGGAAGAAUUACAGAAGAGAUUCGUGACCUAGUUUCAGUAGAAAUGAGAGAUGUCUGUAAGCUGAUGACAUUCGGAAAACCUUAAAACAAUACCUUUUUUAUGUGGCACAAGAAGUGACUUAUAAAAGUACUGAAAAUGGGAAAAGCCUAAGAUGAGACCUUGGAAUACAAACAUCCAUUCAUGAAAUGGGAAACAGUGAAGGACAUUAGGUAAUAAUGGAUUUUCCAUCCUUAUGGAUCUCACACAAAAUCUCUGUAGAGGAAGGGAGGGAAACAAGUCUAGGAACACUGAGAAAUACAGUCAUUUUCCCCAAGACCCUGAAUCAGAAUCUGCAUGAGUCUAUCUAACAUGUAGUGAAUGGCUCACGGAUAUAUAACUAGAAGAGAGAGACAAGGAAAGAAGCAAGAAUCAAACACCCGUAUGUGGAAACUCAAAAAAAGAACUGAGAAAACCCCACAAGAUCAACUCUGAAAUGGCUAAACUUAAUUCUAGCCUAACGGCAUGAAAUACAACAUUCUCUAGGAAGACCAAUGUUUCUACAUGCAUCUUGAGUCAUUGAACGUCAGGGUCUUGGAAGUAUCACCUCAUGGGUAGGAGCCUAACUUCUGAUUAAAGGAUUUAUAAGAAAUUAUUAUGCACAUCAUGUGUAUUCUAAGGAAUCAUGUACAAAACUUGAUAAGAAAUUCACAUGAAUCAGAGCUGCUAUAAAGUAUUGAGAGCCUAUUAUGAGCAAAAUAGUCAUUGAUACAAGUAUGUGCCAGGGACUCUUCUAAAUCCAUGACAAUGAACCAAAGUGACAAAUAUUCCUACCUUCAUGGAGCUUACAUCCCAUUAUUUAACAUCUGCACAAUUCUAACAACAGCCACAGAUGUUAUUAUUCUUAUUUUGCAGGUGAGGAAACUGAGAUUUAAAAAAAGUGAGUAACUUACCUACAGUGACAGAGCUAGUAACUCAUGUGCCAGAAUUCAAAUCCAGCUCUGUGCAGCUUCAAAGCCUCAAUUUUUACCUGCUUUGCUACGCUAUCUUCUAUAAGCAACAGAAAAUGGGUUCUAAUGAGCAUUAACACAUCUACCACAACUCAGAUGAGUAUUCUCGAUUAAAAAAAAAAUACUUUCCUAUUUGCAGUAAACAAACUACAACUUAUAAGGAGGCGGAUACUCAGUACCAAGUGCCUACCAGUAGGCAGGAUCUCAUUCAACCAAAAUGUAUUAAUCGGGUACAGUGUCAAACCUUAGACCACUUCUUAGGGAUAUAAAUUAGACAAGUCUAGUGGGGAAGAAGAACAUAUAAAUGGAUCAUCAUAACACAGCAUGAUAAGGCUGAAAUAAGAUAAGCCCAGGAUGCUCAAGAGAGUACAGAAAACAGAUCAAUAUAGACUGAAAGGAAGGAAUGUUGACCUCUGCGUUGAGUUUUAGCCAGCAGGGGUGAGCUUGAUGAAGAAAGGGGAGGUGGAGUGAGAAAAUGGUAAAGUGCUUUGAGUAGAGAGGCAGAAUGAUAUGUGCAGGGAUGUGAAAGACAGCAUGGUGCUUGAGAAAAUGCAAGCAUUUCAGCAUGAGGGUGAAUUGUGAGAGAGAUGCUCCUGAAAACUGGCUGUAGUGUAUUUUAGCAAUGUGUGUGUUUAGAGAAGGUUGCACACAGGAUGGAAAUUGGGGGGCACAUCUAGAAAUCUAAUAGUGAGUUACAGAAUCUAUUUCAUGGAUCUUGGCCAAUAUUUAGUUAAAACAACAAAAGAAUAAAAUAGAAUAAAAAAUAUCAAGUAUACCAUAUGUAGUAAGGUAUUGUUUCAUAAAACACACACGUAUGUUAGGACUGAGUCUUGAUGUUUAAUGUAUGUCUUACUAUGACUCAUGAUCCAAAAAGUUUGGAAAGCACUGAUCUAUCUGUACCUUCCAACAGGCAGAUUGUUCCCUUUGGACUUACUCAACAGGGCUCCCUUGGGGGGACCUCCUAUCUAUUUAUUCCUGUCAGGAGAAAAGAGAGGUUGCUUGGAACAAACAUGUCCCAGUUUCUUAAAGACUUUCCAUAUUCCAAAGUCCAUGAUCUAAUUCUAAAUCUCAAGUGGCUAUACAGAUAAACUACAAUGACCAGGGCUAUUUCUGAAAAGCAAUUAAUAUUUCCAUUUUGCAGAAGUGAGACAAAAUAGGCACACAAAAUAAAGCUUCAAAUGACUCUAAGAAAGUCUGGGGCCCGUAAAAAGUUCUCUGUCCCAGCUAUGUUUUCCACCAAAUGAAUCAACCAGGUACAGAGUCAAUGCAUAUGAGUCAUGAAACACACCCUAUGUCGUAUCUCUCUCUUCUUUUCCUUUACACAGGGAUUUUCCCUAAAAAUUACUUUUGGAUUUUAUUCCUCACUUUUUUUUCCCUAAGUCCAGUCAAUUUCUCCCAGUCAAUUUCUUGCCAGUUUCUCUGCUUUUUGAUGUUUUCCUUGAUGGUGUUUAAUCUUGUUUCUCUUCUCUUUUGUCUGAUCAUUCUGAAUUCAUAAAAAAGUUCAUAUACAAAGAAAAUCCAUAUAAAACAUGGCUUUAAAAGGAAAGAACUUAAAAUAUUGCUGUUUCCUUUAAAUUUAUUACUUAACUGAUUGCAAAGCACAAGAGUCAAAGAGAAAGUUAACAGAAGUAGUUUAAUAAAUACCUCUUAACUAAAUUAUCUGGCUAAUUUAGGCCAUUAAGAUACUGGAGUUGAUAAAAACAAGUCAAAAAUUGACUUUGGGCCUAAAUUAAUUAGACUUGGUCAAUAUCAGUAGAAUUAAUCACACAUUUGUCUACGAAUCAACAAUCAGAAGUCAACGUUGGAAAUGACAGAUCACCUCUCAAGCCCUAAUUAUUUACGCUUCUCGAAGACUAUACCUCUCUUCUCUGAGCUAUAAAAGCAUCAGUUCUUAUUGGGAGGAGCUUUUGUAGAAUCAUAGACUUCUUGAACUUGAAAACAACCUUAGAGAUUAUCUGGUCCAGAGUUUCUCAAUCAAUUUUAUGAGGUUGAGAACAUAAAAAAUUAUCACAUGCUUGGUCCUCAUGCAGAUUCAAAUGGCCCUUUGGUUGGGAGUCUAUGCUUUUUAUAUCUCUACCUGCUAAGAAGUGUUUGUCAAUCUCUUAUUUCCUGUGGUUCCUGAAAAUAUUUUUCUUAUAUUUUUUAAAUGAAAAUGUAAUGUUGAAUUUGCUUUAUUAAACUAUGUAUAAAACUCGGGA
Molecule: non-coding RNA, 3662 nt
Organism: Leptonychotes weddellii (Weddell seal)
Lineage: Eukaryota; Metazoa; Chordata; Mammalia; Carnivora; Phocidae
Source: RefSeq, a predicted model, not a curated record